UCAUACGUAUUUGUGUACUGCGUUU
Molecule: microRNA, 25 nt
Filed under: Bombyx mori (domestic silkworm)
Lineage: Eukaryota; Metazoa; Arthropoda; Insecta; Lepidoptera; Bombycidae
Description: bmo-miR-3363
Source: miRBase by way of RNAcentral